CAGAGAACAUCGCCCUCACGGGUGACUCUCCAACCCUAUGUUAUUAUACCUUUGUUGCUUUGGCGAGCCGCUUCGGCCACCGGCUUACGCUGGUGAGCGCUCGCCAGAGGACCCCAACCUCUGAAUUAAGUAUCGUCUGAGUACUAUAUAAUAGUUA
Molecule: unclassified non-coding RNA, 157 nt
Filed under: uncultured Chalara
Lineage: Eukaryota; Fungi; Ascomycota; Leotiomycetes; Helotiales
Description: sequence contains ITS1
Source: RNAcentral